Acanthosepion pharaonis is the source of this 88-nucleotide non-coding RNA. The record is from the annotation of a GenBank genome assembly. NCBI's taxonomy places the organism in Eukaryota, Metazoa, Mollusca, Cephalopoda, Sepiida, Sepiidae.
UACACCGAAACACCGGUUCUCGUAAGAUCACCGAAGUUAAGCAACGUCGAGCUUGGUCAGUACCUAGAUAAGUGACCGCUGUAAACUU